AGUCGAGCGAACCUUCGGGUCUAGCGGCGGACGGGUUAGUAACGCGUGGGAAUAUACCCUUCACUACGGAAUAGCCUCGGGAAACUGGGAGUAAUACCGUAUACGCCCUUUUGGGGAAAGAUUUAUCGGUGAAGGAUUAGCCCGCGUCUGAUUAGAUAGUUGGUGGGGUAAUGGCCUACCAAGUCUACGAUCAGUAGCUGGUUUGAGAGGAUGAUCAGCAACACUGGGACUGAGACACGGCCCAGACUCCUACGGGAGGCAGCAGUGGGGAAUCUUAGACAAUGGGCGCAAGCCUGAUCUAGCCAUGCCGCGUGAGUGACGAAGGCCUUAGGGUCGUAAAGCUCUUUCGCCAGAGAUGAUAAUGACAGUAUCUGGUAAAGAAACCCCGGCUAACUCCGUGCCAGCAGCCGCGGUAAUACGGAGGGGGUUAGCGUUGUUCGGAAUUACUGGGCGUAAAGCGCACGUAGGCGGAUUGGAAAGUAUGGGGUGAAAUCCCAGGGCUCAACCCUGGAACUGCCUUGUAACUCCCAAUCUAGAGUUCCAGAGAGGUGAGUGGAAUUCCAAGUGUAGAGGUGAAAUUCCUAGAUAUUUGGAGGAACACCAGUGGCGAAAGCGGCUCACUGGCUCGAUACUGACGCUGAAGUGCCAAAGUGGGGGGAGCAAACAGGAUUAGAUACCCUGGUAGUCCACACCGUAAACGAUGAAUGGCAGACCUCAGGGGGCUUGCCCUUUGGUGUCACACCUAACGGAUUAAGCAUUCCGCCUGGGGAGUACGGUCCCAAGAUUAAAACUCAAAGGAAUUGACAGGGGCCCGCACAAGCGGUGG
RNAcentral lists this ribosomal RNA (826 nucleotides) under uncultured Alphaproteobacteria bacterium. RNAcentral's name for it is "bacterial SSU rRNA". It matches the Rfam family "Bacterial small subunit ribosomal RNA", at positions 60 to 935 of the family's 1533-position model. The record is from RNAcentral. Lineage: Bacteria; Pseudomonadati; Pseudomonadota; Alphaproteobacteria.